GAUGAAGAACGUAGUGAAAUGCGAUAAGUAAUGUGAAUUGCAGAAUUCAGUGAAUCAUCGAGUCUUUGAACGCACAUUGCGCCCCCUGGUAUUCCGGGGGGCAUGCAUGUCCGAGCGUCAUUGCUGCCCUCAAGCACGGCUUGUGUGUUGGGCCUCCGUCCUCCUCCCGGGGGACGGGCCCGAAAGGCAGCGGCGGCACCGCGUCCGGUCCUCGAGCGUAUGGGGCUUCGUCACCCGCUCUUGUAGGCCCGGCCGGCGCUUGCCGACACAUCAAUCUUUUUUCCAGGUUGACCUCGGAUCAGGUAGGGAUACCCGCUGAACUUAAGCAUAUCAAUAAGCGGAGGA
This 345-nucleotide unclassified non-coding RNA is filed under the name soil metagenome. RNAcentral's name for it is "partial contains 5.8S ribosomal RNA, internal transcribed spacer 2, and large subunit ribosomal RNA". The stretch from base 1 to 120 matches the Rfam family "5.8S ribosomal RNA", at positions 35 to 154 of the family's 154-position model. The record is from RNAcentral.